RNAcentral lists this long non-coding RNA (252 nucleotides) under Marmota monax (woodchuck). Lineage: Eukaryota; Metazoa; Chordata; Mammalia; Rodentia; Sciuridae. The record is from RNAcentral.
GGGCAUGGAAAAUAUGAUUUCUAUAUUGGUUUGGGAUUGGCUAUGACCUCCAGCAUUUUCAUAGUAGGGAGUUUCAUUUUGAAAAAAAAAAGGCCUUCUGCGACUUGCCAGAAAAGGACCCAUGAGAGCAGGUCAAGGUGGCCAUGCAUAUCUUAAAGAAUGGUUGUGGUGGGCUGGACUACUGUCAAUGGGGGCAGGCGAGGUGGCCAACUUCGCUGCAUAUGCCUUAGAACCAGCCACGCUAGUGACUCC